This 88-nucleotide transfer RNA is filed under the name Estrella lausannensis. It matches the Rfam family "tRNA". From Rfam's summary of the family: Transfer RNA (tRNA) molecules are approximately 80 nucleotides in length. The record is from Rfam by way of RNAcentral. Lineage: Bacteria; Pseudomonadati; Chlamydiota; Chlamydiia; Parachlamydiales; Candidatus Criblamydiaceae.
GGAGGAGUGUCCGAGUGGCCGAAGGAGCACGCCUGGAAAGUGUGUAUACGCUAAACACGUAUCGUGGGUUCGAAUCCCACCUCCUCCG